This 443-nucleotide ribosomal RNA is filed under the name uncultured bacterium. Its description in RNAcentral is "partial 16S ribosomal RNA". It matches the Rfam family "Bacterial small subunit ribosomal RNA", at positions 338 to 795 of the family's 1533-position model. The record is from RNAcentral.
CCUACGGGUGGCAGCAGUGGGGAAUAUUGGGCAAUGGGCGCAAGCCUGACCCAGCAACGCCGCGUGAAGGAAGAAGGCUUUCGGGUUGUAAACUUCUUUUAUCAGGGACGAAGCAAGUGACGGUACCUGAUGAAUAAGCCACGGCUAACUACGUGCCAGCAGCCGCGGUAAUACGUAGGUGGCAAGCGUUAUCCGGAUUUACUGGGUUUAAGGGGCGUGUAGGCGGGAGUGCAAGUCAGAUGUGAAAACUUAGGGCUCAACCGUGAGCCUGCAUUUGAAACUGUGUUUCUUUAGUGCUGGUGAGGCAAGCGGAAUUCCGGGUGUAGCGGUGAAAUGCGUAGAUAUACGGAGGAACACCAGUGGCGAAGGCGGACUGCUGGACAGCAACUGACGCUGAGGCGCGAAAGUGUGGGGAGCAAACAGGAUUAGAUACCCUGGUAGUC